AACGAACGCUGGCGGCACGCCUAACACAUGCAAGUCGAACGGAAUUUAAGUCUUCGGAUUUAAAUUUAGUGGCGGACGGGUGAGUAACGCGUGGGAACCUGCCUUGCAGUAAGGGAUAACGCCGGGAAACCGGUGCUAAUACCGCAUACGCCCUACGGGGGAAAGGGGGGAGUCUUCGGACCUCUCGCUAUCAGAUGAGCCCAUGUCAGAUUAGCUAGUUGGUGAGGUAAAGGCUCACCAAGGCGACGAUCUGUAACUGGUCUGAGAGGAUGAUCAGUCACACUGGAACUGAGACACGGUCCAGACUCCUACGGGAGGCAGCAGUGGGGAAUAUUGGACAAUGGGGGGCAACCCUGAUCCGAGCCAUGCCGCGUGUGUGAAGAAGGCCCUAGGGUUGUAAAGCACUCUCAGUGGGGAGAAAGGUUAUUCACCUAAUACGU
Molecule: ribosomal RNA, 440 nt
Filed under: uncultured bacterium
Lineage: Bacteria
Description: bacterial SSU rRNA
Rfam family: Bacterial small subunit ribosomal RNA
Source: RNAcentral